This 2923-nucleotide ribosomal RNA is filed under the name Klebsiella pneumoniae. RNAcentral's name for it is "bacterial LSU rRNA". It matches the Rfam family "Bacterial large subunit ribosomal RNA". The record is from RNAcentral. Lineage: Bacteria; Pseudomonadati; Pseudomonadota; Gammaproteobacteria; Enterobacterales; Enterobacteriaceae.
GGGUUGUGAGGUUAAGCGACUAAGCGUACACGGUGGAUGCCCUGGCAGUCAGAGGCGAUGAAGGACGUGCUAAUCUGCGAAAAGCGUCGGUAAGGUGAUAUGAACCGUUAUAACCGGCGAUGUCCGAAUGGGGAAACCCAGUGCAAUUCGUUGCACUAUCGUUAACUGAAUACAUAGGUUAACGAGGCGAACCGGGGGAACUGAAACAUCUAAGUACCCCGAGGAAAAGAAAUCAACCGAGAUUCCCCCAGUAGCGGCGAGCGAACGGGGAGCAGCCCAGAGUCUGAAUCAGCUUGUGUGUUAGUGGAACGGUCUGGAAAGUCCGACGGUACAGGGUGAUAGUCCCGUACACCAAAAUGCACAGGCUGUGAACUCGAAGAGUAGGGCGGGACACGUGGUAUCCUGUCUGAAUAUGGGGGGACCAUCCUCCAAGGCUAAAUACUCCUGACUGACCGAUAGUGAACCAGUACCGUGAGGGAAAGGCGAAAAGAACCCCGGCGAGGGGAGUGAAAAAGAACCUGAAACCGUGUACGUACAAGCAGUGGGAGCACCUUCGGGUGUGACUGCGUACCUUUUGUAUAAUGGGUCAGCGACUUAUAUUCUGUAGCAAGGUUAACCGUAUAGGGGAGCCGCAGGGAAACCGAGUCUUAACUGGGCGUUAAGUUGCAGGGUAUAGACCCGAAACCCGGUGAUCUAGCCAUGGGCAGGUUGAAGGUUGGGUAACACUAACUGGAGGACCGAACCGACUAAUGUUGAAAAAUUAGCGGAUGACUUGUGGCUGGGGGUGAAAGGCCAAUCAAACCGGGAGAUAGCUGGUUCUCCCCGAAAGCUAUUUAGGUAGCGCCUCGUGAAUUCAUCUUCGGGGGUAGAGCACUGUUUCGGCUAGGGGGUCAUCCCGACUUACCAACCCGAUGCAAACUACGAAUACCGAAGAAUGUUAUCACGGGAGACACACGGCGGGUGCUAACGUCCGUCGUGAAGAGGGAAACAACCCAGACCGCCAGCUAAGGUCCCAAAGUCAUGGUUAAGUGGGAAACGAUGUGGGAAGGCACAGACAGCCAGGAUGUUGGCUUAGAAGCAGCCAUCAUUUAAAGAAAGCGUAAUAGCUCACUGGUCGAGUCGGCCUGCGCGGAAGAUGUAACGGGGCUAAACCAUGCACCGAAGCUGCGGCAGCGACACUAUGUGUUGUUGGGUAGGGGAGCGUUCUGUAAGCCUGCGAAGGUGGCCUGUGAGGGUUGCUGGAGGUAUCAGAAGUGCGAAUGCUGACAUAAGUAACGAUAAAGCGGGUGAAAAGCCCGCUCGCCGGAAGACCAAGGGUUCCUGUCCAACGUUAAUCGGGGCAGGGUGAGUCGACCCCUAAGGCGAGGCCGAAAGGCGUAGUCGAUGGGAAACAGGUUAAUAUUCCUGUACUUGGUGUUACUGCGAAGGGGGGACGGAGAAGGCUAUGUUAGCCGGGCGACGGUUGUCCCGGUUUAAGCAUGUAGGCUGGUUAUCCAGGCAAAUCCGGAUAAUCAAGGCUGAGGUGUGAUGACGAGGCACUACGGUGCUGAAGUAACAAAUGCCCUGCUUCCAGGAAAAGCCUCUAAGCAUCAGGUAACAUCAAAUCGUACCCCAAACCGACACAGGUGGUCAGGUAGAGAAUACCAAGGCGCUUGAGAGAACUCGGGUGAAGGAACUAGGCAAAAUGGUGCCGUAACUUCGGGAGAAGGCACGCUGGUGUGUAGGUGAAGUCCCUGCGGAUGGAGCUGAGACCAGUCGAAGAUACCAGCUGGCUGCAACUGUUUAUUAAAAACACAGCACUGUGCAAACACGAAAGUGGACGUAUACGGUGUGACGCCUGCCCGGUGCCGGAAGGUUAAUUGAUGGGGUUAUCCGUAAGGAGAAGCUCUUGAUCGAAGCCCCGGUAAACGGCGGCCGUAACUAUAACGGUCCUAAGGUAGCGAAAUUCCUUGUCGGGUAAGUUCCGACCUGCACGAAUGGCGUAAUGAUGGCCAGGCUGUCUCCACCCGAGACUCAGUGAAAUUGAACUCGCUGUGAAGAUGCAGUGUACCCGCGGCAAGACGGAAAGACCCCGUGAACCUUUACUAUAGCUUGACACUGAACAUUGAGCCUUGAUGUGUAGGAUAGGUGGGAGGCUUUGAAGCGUGGACGCCAGUCUGCGUGGAGCCAACCUUGAAAUACCACCCUUUAAUGUUUGAUGUUCUAACGUUGGCCCCUGACCGGGGUUGCGGACAGUGUCUGGUGGGUAGUUUGACUGGGGCGGUCUCCUCCCAAAGCGUAACGGAGGAGCACGAAGGUUAGCUAAUCCUGGUCGGACAUCAGGAGGUUAGUGCAAUGGCAUAAGCUAGCUUGACUGCGAGCGUGACGGCGCGAGCAGGUGCGAAAGCAGGUCAUAGUGAUCCGGUGGUUCUGAAUGGAAGGGCCAUCGCUCAACGGAUAAAAGGUACUCCGGGGAUAACAGGCUGAUACCGCCCAAGAGUUCAUAUCGACGGCGGUGUUUGGCACCUCGAUGUCGGCUCAUCACAUCCUGGGGCUGAAGUAGGUCCCAAGGGUAUGGCUGUUCGCCAUUUAAAGUGGUACGCGAGCUGGGUUUAGAACGUCGUGAGACAGUUCGGUCCCUAUCUGCCGUGGGCGCUGGAGAAUUGAGGGGGGCUGCUCCUAGUACGAGAGGACCGGAGUGGACGCAUCACUGGUGUUCGGGUUGUCAUGCCAAUGGCACUGCCCGGUAGCUAAAUGCGGAAGAGAUAAGUGCUGAAAGCAUCUAAGCACGAAACUUGCCCCGAGAUGAGUUCUCCCUGAGACUUUAAGUCUCCUGAAGGAACGUUAAAGACGAUGACGUUGAUAGGCCGGGUGUGUAAGCGCAGCGAUGCGUUGAGCUAACCGGUACUAAUGAACCGUGAGGCUUAACCUUACAACGCCGAAG